UGAGAAAAGAAGCAUGUCUUCUUCCCACGUGACCCAGGCUUUCAGAAAAAGAGACCCAUCGAGCAGCCUCACAGCAUCCUCCCGGCGCUGAAGAGACCACACCAUGUCCUGCCCCUGGGCUGGGAUCCUGCUUCUCGCCCUGCAGGUGGCUGCUUCCCAGGAGCAGCUGUGGCUGCAGCAAAACCCAGCAGAGAUCUGGACGACCUCAGGACAGACUGUGCAGAUGGACUGCACUGUUUUGUAUGAAGACUAUCACGUAUCCUGGUACAAAGAGGGUCAGGACGGCAGUCUGCAGUGGGUUGCCUGGACUGGUAAAUCUGUACCUGCAAAAGGAAGAUACUCAAGUAAAGUGAGCGGUGCAGGGAAAACAGUCUCUCUAGUCAUCAGGGAUCUGCAGGAGGAGGAUUCUGGGGUCUAUUACUGUGCCGUUGAUGCCUUUACAUAUGCUGGCUUUGGGAAUGGGACCAGGUUGAUCAUCUCUGAUGCCGCCCAACCCAGCCUUGCCAUCUUGGCACCUUCCCCCAAGGAGGAAGCUGAGCUCCCAGACCCCGUCCCCCUGCUCUGCCUGCUCUCCCCGCAGGCUCAGGGUUGGGGGGCACCUCUCUGGGACCUCGGGGAGGGGUCUCCAGGACAGGCAGAUGCAGGAGCCCAGGAUGGGGAAGGUGCAUGGAGCAUGACAACAGUCCCCAAAGAGAAGUGGGACACAGGGACGUGCUGCACCUGCACCGCCAGACAGGAGGGAACAAGAAGAAACAUCAGCGCUGCCAUGCCCAAGGGCCUGGGCACCAUGUCGGAGGGUACGUGA
This is a non-coding RNA of Alligator mississippiensis (American alligator), 805 nucleotides long. The record is from the annotation of a RefSeq genome assembly. Lineage: Eukaryota; Metazoa; Chordata; Crocodylia; Alligatoridae.